AUUAGACGAAUCAUCUGGAAAGAUGAAUCAAAGAAGGUAAUAAUCCUGUAGUCGAAAAUGUUGUCUCUCUUGAGUGGAUCCUGAGUACGACGGAGCACGUGAAAUUCCGUCGGAAUCUGGGAGGACCAUCUCCUAAGGCUAAAUACUCUCUAGUGACCGAUAGUGAACCAGUACCGUGAGGGAAAGGUGAAAAGCACCCCGGAAGGGGAGUGAAAUAGAACCUGAAACCGUGUGCUUACAAGUAGUCAGAGCCCGUUAAUGGGUGAUGGCGUGCCUUUUGUAGAAUGAACCGGCGAGUUACGAUUUGAUGCAAGGUUAAGCAGUAAAUGUGGAGCCGUAGCGAAAGCGAGUCUGAAUAGGGCGUUUAGUAUUUGGUCGUAGACCCGAAACCAGGUGAUCUACCCUUGGUCAGGUUGAAGUUCAGGUAACACUGAAUGGAGGACCGAACCGACUUACGUUGAAAAGUGAGCGGAUGAACUGAGGGUAGCGGAGAAAUUCCAAUCGAACCUGGAGAUAGCUGGUUCUCUCCGAAAUAGCUUUAGGGCUAGCCUCAAGUGAUGAUUAUUGGAGGUAGAGCACUGUUUGGACGAGGGGCCCCUCUCGGGUUACCGAAUUCAGACAAACUCCGAAUGCCAAUUAAUUUAACUUGGGAGUCAGAACAUGGGUGAUAAGGUCCGUGUUCGAAAGGGAAACAGCCCAGACCACCAGCUAAGGUCCCAAAAUAUAUGUUAAGUGGAAAAGGAUGUGGCGUUGCCCAGACAACUAGGAUGUUGGCUUAGAAGCAGCCAUCAUUUAAAGAGUGCGUAAUAGCUCACUAGUCGAGUGACACUGCGCCGAAAAUGUACCGGGGCUAAACAUAUUACCGAAGCUGUGGAUUGUCCUUUGGACAAUGGUAGGAGAGCGUUCUAAGGGCGUUGAAGCAUGAUCGUAAGGACAUGUGGAGCGCUUAGAAGUGAGAAUGCCGGUGUGAGUAGCGAAAGACGGGUGAGAAUCCCGUCCACCGAUUGACUAAGGUUUCCAGAGGAAGGCUCGUCCGCUCUGGGUUAGUCGGGUCCUAAGCUGAGGCCGACAGGCGUAGGCGAUGGAUAACAGGUUGAUAUUCCUGUACCACCUAUAAUCGUUUUAAUCGAUGGGGGGACGCAGUAGGAUAGGCGAAGCGUGCGAUUGGAUUGCACGUCUAAGCAGUAAGGCUGAGUAUUAGGCAAAUCCGGUACUCGUUAAGGCUGAGCUGUGAUGGGGAGAAG
Molecule: ribosomal RNA, 1244 nt
Filed under: Staphylococcus aureus
Lineage: Bacteria; Bacillati; Bacillota; Bacilli; Caryophanales; Staphylococcaceae
Description: partial 23S ribosomal RNA
Rfam family: Bacterial large subunit ribosomal RNA
Source: RNAcentral